GAUGACCACCUUUCUUCAUGAGUUUGUUGACUGCCUGAAUGUCUUCUUUGUGAAAGAGGCUGCCUUCAUUCCUUUGAUCAUGAUCUCUCCUUCCAUAGUCCAACCCAGCAGUAUAGCAUCUUCAAGUGUCUCUCUGAAUUUGACUCUACUUCAAUCAUUACAUCUUUACUCUGACUGACCCUCCUGCCUCUCUCUGAUAAUAAACUUAUUGAUUUUAUUGG
Echinops telfairi (small Madagascar hedgehog) is the source of this 221-nucleotide long non-coding RNA. RefSeq lists it as uncharacterized. The transcript is spliced from 2 exons. NCBI's taxonomy places the organism in Eukaryota, Metazoa, Chordata, Mammalia, Afrosoricida, Tenrecidae. The record is from RefSeq and is a predicted model, not a curated record.